UUUUAUGACUUUUAAUUCAUCCUUAUCCUUCAAGUUUCAUCUUUAUCAAAAAAAUUGAAGAAAAGAAGAGAAGAGAAACUUGAAGCUAGAGAGAGAGCUACAAUUUUGGAGGAGAAAAAGCCCCAAAAGGAUAGCAAACAGCCACAAAGUUUUAGUCACGCUAAAGGAACUUUCGAGGCGAGUUUGGCGAGUUUCGGGCAAUGUUCAAAAGACGACGAGGCGAACGUGGUGAAGGGUAAUCCAUAAGAGGUACAAAUAUUCAUUUCGGAGAUCCGCCAGCUUAGGAUUUCCGCUCAACUAUGUUGGAUGUGCUCCACUAUUUUGGAGCCUAGAUUUUUGGUAUUGGUCCUCCUAUGUAUAUAUUUGUUUGUUCAAGGGUACGGCGGGAGCCCUAUCCCGCCAUAUAUUACUAUUCUUACUCUUAGAUGUCUGUGGACAUGUAUGUGGAUUGUAUAUAUAUGCGUGUACAGUUUUCCUCAUAUGCUAUGAUAGCCUCGUCGGCUUAUAUGUAAUCUUGCUUGUUGAUACAUUAUAACUCAAACCGGGGACAGGUUUACUUAUAGUUAGCAGGGGUAUAUGCGAGUGUCCAGUUCGGACACCCGUCACGGCCUACGGGGUUGGAUUUAGACAAUAACCCUAGCUUUGUGAAUCAUAAAAUUCUAUGUACCAUUUGUAUGGUUUUGUAUUUGAUAUAUAACU
Solanum dulcamara is the source of this 699-nucleotide long non-coding RNA. RefSeq lists it as uncharacterized. The transcript has 4 exons. The record is from RefSeq and is a predicted model, not a curated record. Lineage: Eukaryota; Viridiplantae; Streptophyta; Magnoliopsida; Solanales; Solanaceae.